Molecule: long non-coding RNA, 370 nt
Filed under: Actinidia chinensis (golden kiwifruit)
Lineage: Eukaryota; Viridiplantae; Streptophyta; Magnoliopsida; Ericales; Actinidiaceae
Description: long non-coding RNA (ACHI_LNC008784)
Source: RNAcentral
AAAAGAUUCAUCUGAGAACGUAUCCCUUCCUUCUAUCUUCCCACACACACUUCAUCCUCUGCUUUCAAUCUCUUUUCUCUCCUAAAAACUCUUCUGAAAUGCCCUUCUUCUCUUGGAUCCCUCUCUCCCGAAACCCUAUUUCUCUCUCUCUAUUUCUCUCUCUCAAGUCUCUUGCCCGAUCGAACCCCAUUUCCUUUCAUAGUUGUCGAUCUGUACAAUUAUUGAGUUUUUGAUUUGUAGAUUUAAUCCUUUCAAAUUGUAAGUUUUUAAGUGAUCACAAGUUCCAAUUCUUGUUUCUAUUGCUGCCAUUAUAUGUACUUGUCUAGUGCUUGUAAGCAUGGGUCUCCAAGAACAUUCUUUAAUUUGUUGU